CUGUUUGGCAACUGUAAUAUAUUUUAUGAAUUUUUUUUUUUUAAUUGGGGGUGUUUGGCUUCAAGUUGUCCUUCCCAAUUAAUAGUAUAGAAUUAUAGAUACAAAAAAAAAUCUACAAAUAUAUUUUAAAAAUAAUGAUAAUAUAGAGAAGAUGGGGGAAACGGAGAAAAUCAACCCAAACUAUUUCUCGAAGGCAUUUUCAUACCCA
RNAcentral lists this long non-coding RNA (208 nucleotides) under Capsella rubella. Its description in RNAcentral is "long non-coding RNA (CRUB_LNC005090)". Lineage: Eukaryota; Viridiplantae; Streptophyta; Magnoliopsida; Brassicales; Brassicaceae. The record is from RNAcentral.